Molecule: ribosomal RNA, 282 nt
Filed under: Segatella copri DSM 18205
Lineage: Bacteria; Pseudomonadati; Bacteroidota; Bacteroidia; Bacteroidales; Prevotellaceae
Description: Prevotella copri DSM 18205 partial 16S ribosomal RNA
Rfam family: Bacterial small subunit ribosomal RNA
Source: RNAcentral
CAGAGAGUGUGUGCCAGCCGCCGCGGUAAUACGGAAGGUCCGGGCGUUAUCCGGAUUUAUUGGGUUUAAAGGGAGCGUAGGCCGGAGAUUAAGCGUGUUGUGAAAUGUAGAUGCUCAACAUCUGAACUGCAGCGCGAACUGGUUUCCUUGAGUACGCACAAAGUGGGCGGAAUUCGUGGUGUAGCGGUGAAAUGCUUAGAUAUCACGAAGAACUCCGAUUGCGAAGGCAGCUCACUGGAGCGCAACUGACGCUGAAGCUCGAAAGUGCGGGUAUCGAACAGG